Oncorhynchus tshawytscha (Chinook salmon) is the source of this 2234-nucleotide long non-coding RNA. NCBI's taxonomy places the organism in Eukaryota, Metazoa, Chordata, Actinopteri, Salmoniformes, Salmonidae. The record is from Ensembl.
GUGUGUGUGUGUGUGUGUGUGUGUGUGUGUGUGUGUGUGUGUGUGUGUGUGUGUGUGUGUGUGUGUGUGAAGGUGUGUAAAAGCAGUAUAUUGUUAGUUUAUUAUUCCACCACUAAUGAAUCAACAUAAUUUCAAGUAAAUUUAUGUUUUUACAAACCAACAUAUACAAAGAUGCAACCAGAUGAAAAUAGAGAAAUUAGAUGAAAAUAAACAGACAGAGAUUAAUACAGACUAAUACAGAUAGAGACACAUACUAACACAGAUAUGGACUAAUACAGAUAGAGGCAUGCAUACUAAUACAGAUAUGGACUAACACAGAUAUGGACUAAUACAGAUAGAGACAUACAUACUAAUACAGAUAUGGAACUAAUACAGACUAAUACAGAUAUGGACUAAUACAGACUAAUACAGAUAGAGACUAAUACAGAUAGAGCGUAACAUAGACUAAUACAGAUAGAGACUAAUACAGACUGAUACAGAUAGAGACUAAUACAGACUAAUACAGAUAGAGACUAAUACAUACUAAUACAGAUAGAGACUAAUACAUACUAAUACAGAUAGAGACUAAUACAGACGAAUACAGAUAGAGAGUAACACAGACUAAUACAGAUAUAGUCAAAUACAGACUAAUACAGAUAGAGACUAAUACAGACUAAUACAGAUAGAGACUAAUACAGACUAAUACAGAUAGAGACGAAUGCAGACUAAUACAGAUAGAGAGUAACACAGACUAAUACAGAUAUAGACAAAUACAGAUAGAGACUAAUACAUAUAGAGAGUAACAAAGACUAAUACAGAUAGAGACUAAUACAGCUAGAGACUAAUACAGCUAGAGACUAAUACAGACUAUUACAGAUGGAGACGGAUACAGACUAAUACAGAUAGAGACUAAUACAUAUAAAUAUGAAUACAGACUAUUACAGAUAGAGACUAAUACAGAUAGAGAUGAAUACAGACUAUUACAGAUAGAGACUAAUACAGAUAAAGAUGAAUACAGAUAGAGAGGGAAUACAGACUAUUACAGAUAGAGACGGAUACAGAUAGAGACUAAUACAGACUAUUACAGAUAAAGAUGAGUAGAGAUAGAGAUGAAUACAGACUAAUACAGAUAGAGACAAAUACAGACUAAUACAGAUAGAGACUAAUACAGACUAAUACAGAUAGAGACUAAUACAGAUCAAUAUGAAUACAGAUAGAGACAAAUACAGACUAUUACAGAUAGAGACUAAUACAGCUAGAGACUAAUACAGACUAUUACAGAUGGAGGCGGAUACAGACUAAUACAGAUAGAGACUAAUACACAUAAAGAUGAAUACAGAUAAAGAUGAAUACAGACUAUUACAGAUAUAGACUAAUACAGAUAAAGAUGAAUACAGAUAGAGACGAAUACAGACUAUUACAGAUAGAGACUAAUACAGAUAAAGAUGAAUACAGACUAUUACAGAUAGAGACUAAUACAGAUAAAGAUGAAUACAGAUAGAGACGAAUACAGACUAUUACACAUAGAGACUAAUACAGAUAGAGACUAAUACAGACUAUUACAGGUAAAGAUGAAUAGAGAUAGAGAUGAAUACAGACUAAUACAGAUAGAGACAAAUACAGACCAAUACAGAUAGAGACUAAUACAGACUAAUACAGAUAGAGACUAAUACAGAUCAAUAUGAAUACAGAUAGAGACGAAUACAGACUAUUACAGAUAGAGACUAAUACAGCUAGAGACUAAUACAGGCUAUUACAGAUGGAGACGGAUACAGACUAAUACAGAUAGAGACUAAUACAGAUAAAUAUGAAUACAGAUAGAGACGAAUACGGACUAUUACAGAUAGAGACUAAUACAGCUAGAGACUAAUACAGACUAUUACAGAUGGAGACGGAUACAGACUAAUACAGAUAGAGACUAAUACACAUAAAGAUGAAUACAGAUAAAGAUGAAUGCAGACUAUUACAGAUAGAGACUAAUACAGAUGAAUACAGACUAUUACAGAUAGAGACUAAUACAGAUAAAUAUGAAUACAGAUAGAGACGAAUACAGACUAUUACAGAUAAAGAUGAGUACAGAUAGAGACGAAUACAGACUAAUACAGAUAGAGACUAAUACAGAUAGAGACGAAUACAGACUAAUACAGAUAGAGACGAAUACAGACAAAUACAGAUAGCGACGGAUACAGACUAAUACAGAUAGAGACGAAUGCAGAUUUAGAUUUAGAGAGGUAAAGAAAUCAAAUAAAGACAGU